This 528-nucleotide ribosomal RNA is filed under the name uncultured Veillonella sp. RNAcentral's name for it is "bacterial SSU rRNA". It matches the Rfam family "Bacterial small subunit ribosomal RNA", at positions 28 to 525 of the family's 1533-position model. The record is from RNAcentral. Lineage: Bacteria; Bacillati; Bacillota; Negativicutes; Veillonellales; Veillonellaceae.
GACGAACGCUGGCGGCGUGCUUAACACAUGCAAGUCGAACGAAGAGCGAUGGAAGCUUGCUUCUAUCAAUCUUAGUGGCGAACGGGUGAGUAACGCGUAAUCAACCUGCCCUUCAGAGGGGGACAACAGUUGGAAACGACUGCUAAUACCGCAUACGAUCCAAUCUCGGCAUCGAGGAUGGAUGAAAGGUGGCCUCUAUUUAUAAGCUAUCACUGAAGGAGGGGAUUGCGUCUGAUUAGCUAGUUGGAGGGGUAACGGCCCACCAAGGCGAUGAUCAGUAGCCGGUCUGAGAGGAUGAACGGCCACAUUGGGACUGAGACACGGCCCAGACUCCUACGGGAGGCAGCAGUGGGGAAUCUUCCGCAAUGGACGAAAGUCUGACGGAGCAACGCCGCGUGAGUGAUGACGGCCUUCGGGUUGUAAAGCUCUGUUAAUCGGGACGAAAGGCCUUCUUGCGAAUAGUUAGAAGGAUUGACGGUACCGGAAUAGAAAGCCACGGCUAACUACGUGCCAGCAGCCGCGGUAAUA